This 216-nucleotide small RNA is filed under the name Cryptosporidium parvum. Lineage: Eukaryota; Apicomplexa; Conoidasida; Eucoccidiorida; Cryptosporidiidae. The record is from RNAcentral.
GUAUUUGAUUGAGGGGUUCUACAUAUACAAGUUUGAGAAAAUUUACUGAGGAUCCAAGAUAAAAAAACUAUAAGGUACCGAUAAAAUAUUAGAAAUUAAAGGAAAUCAACAUCUUGGAAAGCUUAUACUCUAAUUCUGGACUGAGAUUUAUGCAGAAUCUCGUAAUUUGGACCUGAAGAUUUACAUUACAAUAUUGGACAGGCAUACAACUUUUUG